UAACCUCAAUGAUUUAGCUACUCUUUU
This 27-nucleotide non-coding RNA is filed under the name Cricetulus griseus (Chinese hamster). Lineage: Eukaryota; Metazoa; Chordata; Mammalia; Rodentia; Cricetidae. The record is from RNAcentral.